GGAUGUGAGGGCGAUCUGGUUGGGACAUCUGUCACCCCAUUGAUCGCCAGGGUUGAUUCAGCUGAUCUGGCUGGCUAGGCAGGUGUCCCUUUCCUCCCUCACCGCUCCAUGUGCAUCCCUCCCGAAGCUGCACGCUCAGUCGAAGAAGACGACCAUCCCCAAUAGAGGAGGACAGGUCUUCGGUCAAGGGUAUACGAGUAGCUGCGCUCCCCUGCUAGAACCUCCAAACAAGCUCUCAAGAACUUGGCAUGUUCUCUGUGAUGACCUAGAGAGGUAGGAUGGCAGAGCAGGGAGGUUCAAGAGAGAGGGGAUAUAUGUAUACUUAUAGCUGAUUCGCUUUGUUGU
The sequence is an unclassified non-coding RNA, 345 nucleotides long. Its record names the gene 7SK. It matches the Rfam family "7SK RNA". From Rfam's summary of the family: 7SK was discovered as an abundant small nuclear RNA in the mid-70s but a possible function has only recently been suggested. Two independent studies have found that 7SK RNA binds the CDK9/cyclin T complex (known as elongation factor P-TEFb). The record is from Ensembl.